GCAGGACUCGGCGGGCAAGGCAGGCAGGGAGGGCAGGGCAGGGCACUGAGAGCAGCGGCGGGCUCUGUCCCUGCGCUGCAUCCCGUGCCUGGGUCACCAUCGGUGACAGGGAGGAAGGACAUUGCUCUGUCUUGCCUGGGGAAAGGAUGAAAAGGGGGCAUUAGAAAACAUUCAUUUGGUCUCCUUUUCAGCAGACUGGCUCUUUUUAUCUCACCAGGUCUGCCUGUCUUUGGCAGAGUUGGCACAUUUCUCAUGAUUUGGAGUCAGCUACAGCAGCAGGAAGGGGCAGCAAUUUUGUCUGCAUUGUCAUCCAAGCUAAAGUGCUGGCCCAUGGGUGGAUGUUGCUUUACCCAAGGAAUACAGAUAAACACGAAUAGAUUCUAGACAAAACAAGGGAUUCAGGGUACUUGCGGUUCAGUUGUUUUGGUUUAACUAUCAGCUUGUCUACAGGAACAAAUCAGCUGUGAAUACUAAAAGUUCUUAGCAGAGACUUUUUUUUCUGGGCCUGUGCAAUGCUCUAAAUUUAUUUUUGUCCCCUACCACAAUAUUUCCUGUAAGUUGACCAGACUGCAUCACAGAAACUCCAGGCAGAAAAUUGAUGAACAUCAAAAAUCCAUGGCUAAAGCCUCUCCCUCAGCUCUGGAGCCACCACACAAGCUGUUGAUACAGCCUUUUGUAAGGAAGGGGCAUGGUACCACCACAGUGAUGUUUCCAUAACCAAGGUGCAGAUGUGAGAUGAAUGGCCAAGAUGAAGGCCAAGAUGAAGGAGUGCCUCAAGAGUAAAGUAAACUGCAAAUCACCAGGAAAAGAAAGAAAAAAUACCCAGUACUAAAAACAUUGCAAGUGCCUGAGGCGUAAGUCAGAGCAAGCCUCCAUUAUCACUGCAGAGACUUGGCAGCUUUGCUCAUUAGGCUUCCUAGGAUCUGACUGAGUGACCUUGUUUGGUGGGAAGGCACAGAUGGAGUCUGGCAGUAAAUCUUGUUCAUGUAGCAAGGAUUCCUGCUGCUGGAUGAGGUUUGCACCUCGUACGAGCGUUUCUAGCCCCAGUAAACAACCACUGUUCCCUCCUCCCACUGUCAGCCCCUUAUUUCAUGCCACCAGGUACUCCAGCACUUCUUUUUACUGUCAAUUACCAAAAAUAAAGAGAACAUCUCGCUGUGAGUGUAGGAUGAUCUUUCUCUCAAAGGCAGUCAUGCACCUCACUUCUAGAGAAGCUGAUGUUUGCUUUUAAAUUUGGUUGUGUUACCUGAUAGACCCUAAGGCUUUCUUCUGCUGUGAGUCUGUUCCUGAGCUUGAGAAAUAAUUCUAUGAUAGGAAUGCAGUUUUUUACUAAAGUCAUACUCACACAGUUUACAAUACAAUAUAAAUAACUAAUAUAUAAGUAAUAAAUAAAAGGUUUAUCUAUCAGCCAAUUUUAAAUGGUCUAAAAUUUCAGGAUGUAGCCUAUUUAGUUUCAGUGAGAAAAUAAAAAGCUGCUUUUAAAGUUCAUUCAGCUUCUAAAGGGCAAUGCUAAAAAUGUGACACCACCUUGGUUCAGUGAAUGCCUUUGGGUAAAAGAAGAGGGAUACAAGAGUAACUGAAAUAUUUAAGUAAAAUUCAGUGUUGUGACCCUGAACACCAGGACAAAAUUCACAUUGUAUAAGCCAUAUUUCUAAGUGCAAUAAACCAUAUCUAUAAGUGAUAUUUUCUAAGUGUUUUGCACUGCUGAAGUACAGUGGCAAAGCUGAGAGUGGUUAGGGACUCCCAUUUUUCAGUUCUGCCUUCAGAUUUAUUUACUAAGUUCCCCAUCCAAAGGCAGAUGUGAAGACAUCAUUCCAAAGCAACAGCUUUGCAGAUUUUGAAAUGAUAUUCCAUCCUGCUUUGCAGAUGAAAGAAUCAAGCUUGACAUCAGAAACCGGGAUGGAUUUCUAGUGUCUCUUCCCUGACCACUUGGUUCUACAGGCUAGUUCAGGGCUCCCGCACAAAGAAUUCUGAGCCUGACUCCAAGGAAAAGCAGCUUUCUGCUGCCUGUGCCUGUCCCUGCAGGAGGGGCUGCUGCAGGGUGCUCUGCAGCACCUGGUGACUUGGAUUGCUGAGAAGGAAGGAAGGGAACAGACAGAAGCCACCACAUGGCUUUUACUGCUGCCUUUGCACCCCUCAUCCCUCUUCUAAAAGCCAGCAAGGCUCUGCAAUGGAAAGCCAGCACUGCUCACAGCCCUACUGAGGCUUAUAGUGCCUGCUUGUUUGUUUUUAAACACGAUAAUUUAUCUUAUCCCAUGGGUGUUUCUGCCAAGUUCUUGUUGCUUCCAAGGUUCCAACACUUUAUUAUUUAAAACUCCUCUGUGCUGCUUGCUCCUGUAGGGAUUAUGAAAAGAAAUUAAAUUUAGGGCACCAAAGAUCAUCACAGGCAGAGGAAUAAAACCUCCCUGCAAGCUUAAUUAAGACAAGAAGAUGGGCUGAUAACAGAUAAUAUUUUGCUAACUAGUCACCAAAGGUAGGAGAAGGUAGGCCUGCAGAAAAGGACACACUAUUACUAUUAAAAAAUGCAUAAUAUUACAAUAUAAUAAUUAUAUUAUAUUAUAUUAUAUUAUAUUAUAUUAUAUUAUAUUAUAUUAUAUACUAUUAUUAUUAAAAUCUUUAAGUUGCAUAGAAGGUGAUGUCCAGGUACUGAUACAACAGGAAUGGGAAAGGCUUCUCAGGGUCUGAUGGGAAAGAAAUGAGCAGAGUGUGUUAAACAGACAAAUGGGACAGAGGAAGAUGUUCUAGGCAGAAAUAUGCUGGAAAUAUUUUGAAGCAGAGUCCUGGCAAAGUGUUUUCAACAUUGUUGUUAAUAAGGUUUGAAUAACACUGGUGUAUCUUGACCUUGGCUUCGGGCUUUCAAGCAAGUGAAAUUAUGUGCUGGUAUGAUCCAUGACUUCAGAGAGGUGUCCCUUUCCUGUGCCUGUGCUAGGGGUCUAAAAAGUCACCUAAUCUAUGUUGCUUGCUCCUUUGAAACGACUCAGUAGUGUAAGAGAUAACUACAUCUGUUUUCAGACAAUAAAACUUUAUAUAAUUCCUUGGGAAAAAUCCUCCCUCAGUGUGUGCAUGUAGAUAAUCUGCACACUUCACAGGAAAUAUAUGCUGGUCAGCAUAAGUUCUGUAAAUUUAAUAAUAAUAAUUAAAAAUGUAGGCAAAUAUAUUUUAGCUUUGCCUUUUCCUCAGUGAGGACUAAUUGGGAUUUGCAUGUUAUGAAGACUUUUUAAAGAUGUGAGCUGAUAUUUGUGCCAAUUUUGCACGCUGGAUUUCACAAUCAGAUUGAUUCUUUCUGAGAUUGGUAGGUCAGGAUUGUCAAGCCCUUCCUUCCACUUGUCCUUGUUCACUGGAGCUAUUUUCUUGUGAGAGUGGCUCUGUAUUGCAGGGAUCAGAGCAUUCCUUGCACUGCACUACCAUUUCUGCAGGUGCCUGCAGCAAUGAAGGAGCAAGCCUUGGCAAUUCUCCCUGGUAAGAGUCUGUUCUCAUGGGUAAAUGACACAGCCAUGGAAGUGGAGCCUCAGAUUGCUCCUGCAUCUCUGCAGACACACUUGCAGAGAAAAUAUUCUGGUCCUAGGAAAACACCAUUCCCUUCAGCUGACAGGCUCUGCAAUGAAAGCCUGGGGGAGCUGCAAGAAGUGAAAUUCAGAUUGCCUUCAUUUUAUCUAAAUAUUUAUCAAAAUAAAACUACUUUUUUUUCCCCUGCAGAAAAUUCAUGUUUCCAUUGCUAGUUGAUUUUACCCAAUUCAUCCUAAACCAUGCAGAUUUUUUUGGUGAGGUGUUGUUUUUCGUUACAUGCAAAUGCAAUUUCCCCUGAAUAAAAAUUCUCCAUUUGUACUGUACUAUUAUUGUUGGGUUUUUUACCUAACUUGCUAAAUUUAUAAAUGGAAACCUUCAGCAAUGAAUAAACUAUUCUCAGACAAAAAAAAAUACCUAAUGCAAGUGCUGUACUUUUUAUCUCUAUGUUGAGUUUCUCUAUUGAGCUAUACUUGACAAAUACUUGAAUUACUGAGAUGUUGGUUUUUCAAACACCAAAACAAAUUUGCCACUGAUUAUGGCCACCUGGAAAUGUCCUGGAGAAACAUUUUGCUUCACAAGGCUGGAUUUGCUGCUAACAGUACAAACUUAUUUCCUGUUUAUUUGUUGAAAUAACUGUGCUUAUUUCUGUAAAUUUGGACUAGGACUAGUUUAUUUCACAUCACUAAUGGGUAGCUCACAAAAUAGCCAUUAAAAGUUUUCAGAUUAUUAAAAAUACUGAAGGGGAAAUAAAAAUUUAUCACUACAUCAUUAAUUUAACCAUAAUUCUUUACCUUCCUAUAGGCCAAUGUCAACACCUUUAAAGCAAGCUCUGAAGGCAAAGUCAAUGAGUUGUGUUUUGGAAGGUUUCUGAUUUAAUUUAAAUCCAUGCAAAUCCAGUGUAACACCAUUCAAGUGUAUCAAUAAUUGAAAAAACGUUCCACUGAAAUUAGUUUUAUAUGUGGGGGAAAUACUUUUUUUUUUUUUUUUACAAAACUAGUCAUCCUUUAAAAAAGCCCAGCCAAGAAGAACAAUGGUCUGAUUUUCAUGGGAAAUUUUAACAAAAAGUGAUGUAAUAUUACUUCUCUGUAUUCUCAUAUGGUAUAUAAAAUAAUCCUACAGGAAUCUGGAGCUUUUUAAUGACUGGCAACAGCUCCAAUAUCCUUGAUAUGUGUCAUGGCAUGGAUUAUUGCUCAAAUCAAUGCGCAGCAAUUUCCAGUCAAGGGAAACAACUGUCCAUUGGUUUGCUCUGAUACAUUUUCAGAGUAUCCCUACAGCCUCCCAUGGAUGUGCAGCUGCUCAGUUACAGUUUAAUUGCAUGACCCCGUAGGCUGACACCCAAGGAGUGCUCGUGGUAGGUGGUGACAUUCAGAACAAAGCAAAAAAGCAAAUACAGUGAAGACUGCAGUUCACACAGGAAGGGAAAGCAGACCAUGUGAAAAGAAAGAUGUCAUUCUAUCAUACAGUUGUCACACAUGUUCUUGUUUACAAAUCUCUAGGGAGAAAGAAUAAACCAGAAGAGAAGAAAACAACCAGUAUCUUUCUCACCAAAGCUCCUGGAGAAUCUCCUUGUUAAAACCAAGCAAACACCUUUCAGCAAGGCUAGUGUGCUAGACAGCAUCACCAGCCACUGGGGAAAUUGGAAGGCACCUUCAAUCUUCUGGAUAUUCCAUAUUUGGGAAUAUCUACUGCAACAGAAACUGGCCAAAAGCAGCAAUUUUAUGGCAGGUAUUCAGACCUCACCAUACGCUACCAAAUACACCUGGUCCAGGGAAUAAUCCUUUUUGUCACACAUAAUUGUAUUGUGGAGUUACAGGAAAUUGGUUGGACAGAGAAUUUCUACCCAGCUCCCAGCUCUGUCUCCUAUGAUGCUUCAAAUCAGGUUUAAUUAUUCCUUUUUUUUUUUUUUUCCUGGCAGGAUGUUGUGAUGGUUUUAUGCCAAAAGGUUUGAAGAAAACUCACUUUUAAUGCAGCAUUUAUGGCAUGGCUUUUAGAUAUUUUACUGUUUACUUGAAACAAUAUUUGGACAUUUUGUUAUCCACUUUGGAAAACUAUUUUAUAUACAUUUCACAGUACAUCCAUCUUAAGGAAUGUCUUAAAGAAAUUACUGUAACUUAAGGAGCCAACAAACAAUAGAUAUAAAAAUGAUGUGUGCAUAAAUAAGACAAUGGAGAGCUUAGAAAAUAAUUCCAUCAGUCUAUAUCAUCUUUUUCCAGACCAAUGUUUUAAAAGAGCAGCACCUUUUUCUUUGUGACAAGGCUUUUCUCCGUGCCUAAUAAGAUUCUUCUAUGUCCUAGGAGUAACCCAUGCAAUUUGAAGAAACAGGUGAAAGACAAAAAGAUAAUAUAAUGAAAGUCAUAGACUGACAGGGAAAGAAAGAGUCUGUAAAGCAGAGUUGUCAUAUUACCAUAAUUUCUGUCACUGAUCUAAUAUAGAACAUGGUUCUUCAAAAUAUUCACCACAUUUUCAGUACAUGAGCCAAUCCUUCUUUCUUAGGAAAUGUGUUUAUUGCUUGUGUAGUUACUAAGAUUCAAGCACACACUUCAGAUGCUUUCCUAAGUGAGAUUACAGUAGGAAACAGUAGAUUCUAGAGAUCUUGCUUCAAGUGUUUCCACUUCUAAUUAUACCUCCACUCCCUCUCUUCAGAAACCAUUAUUAUUCAGUAAUAAAUUCCUCCAGAGAUUUCUUGGAGGGUUUUUUAAGGAUAAAUGCUAUAGAAGGGCAGAUGUGUGCCAUGUCAGCUGGCUGUAAAAGCAUUGCUGGCAGGAACUGAAGUUUAGAACAAGAACUGCAUCCUCACAUAUCACAGGAGAAGACAACGUUUUUGGUAUCUGGGCAAGUUCAUUUUAAAACUGAGGAAGCUGUUUAUGUAAAAAGCACUAAAAUACUAUAAGUGACCACAAAACACACUUUCUCAAAUUAAACAUUCUGAGCUAGCUUCAGAUUUAAACAAAAUUUCCAACUAUUGCUCUAUGGAAUAUGACAAACUCAGUGGUGCUGACCACUUCCAGUCACCUAAGUGGUGUGGGAAAAACAGAAGGGAUCAGGAUUUCUUUUUCCAGGUGUCACCCCACACCCUAACUUUGCAAACUCUUCAAACUUUUUAAAAUAGAAAUGAUAAUGUGUCUUAUCUAUCUCCUUCUCAUUCUGCAGCUAAACCAGUUUGAUGAUCUUACAUGUUUUGGCUCUUUUCUCCUUGCUUGCAGUGUGGAAGAAUGGGGAUAUGUGGCUUCUUUGGGGCAUGGAAAGAGCUGACAGAAAUGUUUCCUCUCCAGCUUGACAUUAUCCCUAGGAAUAUUCUGUUCCACAUCACCUGAGGGACAAGCUGAGUGUCUCUGAGCCCCCAGGGUUUCUGUCUCCUAUCAAGCACUGAGAGCACAGCUGAAAUUCUGGAGCACAGGCAGCCCCAGACACCCCCACACUGCAGUUUGAGUGCUGCUGCACUUUCCUUGGGCAGGAUUUGGUACCACAAGAGUGCAGAGUCUGGAAGAGAGACCUGAAGUGCUCACAGCAGGCUGCAUUGCUAAACAGCCACUCACAUGCCACGAGCCACUGUCUUGUGUUUCCAGUCAGCUGAAAUUACAAUUCCUGUGCCUGGAACACAAAGGUCUUCAGCACAAGGACAGCAGAACAAUCUCACCAUGUUCUGGUGGGCUUUCCACAAACCACUUGGCAGUAGCUUUAUUCCUUCCUGUGCAAAUGUUCAGGUUAACCUCAGCAAGCAUGAGCUUUGAAUACCUGCUCUGGGAGUCCAUACUACCCAUGGAGAAAAGGAUUUCUAGUUAAAAUUGCACUGUGGGCAGGACACACUCGAUUCCUCUCCCUCUGUGCAUGGGCUAGAGGAGAUGUGGUUUGAACACUUCCAAUUCUGGAAACUUACUUAGGGUCCUCAGUCAGAAAUCAUAAAGCCAGUCCUGAAUGCUGCUAUUGACAAUAAAAUAAAAUAAAAUAAAAUAAAAUAAAAUAAAAUAAAAUAAAAUAAAAUAAAAUAAAAUAAAAUAAAAUAAAAUAAAAUAAAAUAAAAUAAAAUAAAAUAAAAUAAAAUAAAAUAAAAUAAAAAUCAGGCUGCAUGUACGUGCUGAAACGAAAGUUUGCAGUUCUGUCCAGUGACAGAGAACCAUGAGAACUCUUAUAUCAGUUGCAUUUGGACAAAGCAGAGGAACACUCCUUCCUAGUGAUAGAGAAGACAUUUGUAGCCUCCAUCUGCUGCUGAACACACCAGCCAGGCUUUCAGCCUUUUGCUCUCUGUAGGGAGCUGGUACAAGUCAGUCACCUUGGACUGAGACAGAUCAAAGGUCUCCAAGUCUGGAAUCCUUUCCAGCACCCCUCAGGGACCAGCACUGAGCCAGCCAGGAGUUAACACACAGUGCUUCCAGCAUGUUUGCCAUUCCAGGAAUCCCUUUUCUUUUGCAUGAACACCCAUAAACAUCCACACCUGUACAGUCUGGCUCUGACAUACCCAUUCAGCACUCUGCCUCGUGUUUCCCCAGCCUCUCCCUCAGCUUUUGUGGGCAAAGCACCCUGUGCACCCAGGCGUUCUGCAGAGCCACACUCUGAGCCUGCUGAGCCUGUCAAAACAACUCUGUUGUUGUGGUAGCCAAGAAUAUAGGGUUUUUUCUCCACUGGGAAAGUCUCAGACACACGAGGUGGUUUCUGAGUUUUAAAUUGUACUGGACACAGGAGGUUUUACAGAGGGUCACCCACUACUGAUUAAAGAGAACAGCUUGCCUUCUGUGCUAUAAUUCAAUCCAUUGUUCCUGUACCUCCACUUGCUAGGCCUGUUAUUACCUUUUUCCCAACCCUUUUCUACAACAUCCUUCUCUCUACAGAUCUAAUUCAACUACUUUUGCUAAUGCCAUUAUAUGAUUUUCUUCUGAAUAGGGAAAAUGUUUUGAUUAAAAACCUUGACAUUAUGUUCAGGAUAAUCUACCAACCAGUUUCUCAGAUGACAGCUGAUAGAAGGCAGCAUGUAUCUAAAGAGUUUACAAUCAUAUCCCUGUGUUAUCUUAAUUAAUGCAGUAAGACCUGUGCAUAGAAUUCACUCUCUUCAUAAUAUAUUGACAGCUGACCUCAUUCCUCCAUGGCAUUUUUAAAAUGCAUUUAUUGUGCUGCAGUGUGAAAACUUAUAGAGAAACCCUCUAUUACAGAGGAAAUUCACAUAUUGUAAUAUUUACUUAUAAUAAUUAGUCUCAAGGUGUUCUGAAAGAUACAACCAAAGGAAUAGAAUGAGAGUCCAUGAAGACAACAAUUGAGUGUGCUGCAAAACAUAUGCUUGUGGUAUUUAUCAUGCUUUUCAUGCAUGAAAGGGAAAUAAAGGCCUUCUACAUCAA
Long non-coding RNA from Passer domesticus (house sparrow), 8834 nucleotides. RefSeq lists it as uncharacterized. The record is from RefSeq and is a predicted model, not a curated record. The transcript has 3 exons. NCBI's taxonomy places the organism in Eukaryota, Metazoa, Chordata, Aves, Passeriformes, Passeridae.